GUAGCCUCUGUUCCUGUGUGCGUGUGUGCUGUCUCAGUAGGUUGUUCUCCUCUUGCAGACGGAAACACUGGUCCUCCAGCUGCUCCCUGGGCACCUGGAACACCCUCUGACGGUCUGAUGGAGAGGAGGAAGAAAAAGAGGGAAGAAGGAGAGGGAAAAUAAGGGAAUGGAACAGAGCCCUCCUCUCAACAGCCCUACGUCCCUCACUGGUAGAUCUCCGGCUGUCUCGUCCACUGUCAGAGACAUGAUUGGUCCUAAUGAAGGUUCAGCCAAUCACCAUGCUUAUUUCUAUGGAGAUGGGGCUCUGGUGGUGAUGUCAUCACAGAGGAUGGGACUGACAUCACACGUAGUGGUACAAACCCACCUCGACCUCCCAGUAGUGCCUCCCGGUGGCAAAGCCGUCCUUGGCAAGGACACAGGGUGCCGUGUCGAAUCGUUGAGGGCCGUUCAGGAGGCUCGGCUCCAUGUCCCCGUCCCAGACUUGCUUACCAUCUUCAGACACGACCAGCCAGGGGUUGGCAGUGCUCGGGUCCAGGGAUACGUCAACUUUGAGGAGACAGAAAAUAAAUAAGAAAACAAAAUGUUAUUGUCCAUUUUUUUCUUUGGUGCUCUAAUUUACAGGGUCAAAAGGUAACAACAGGCAUAUAACAUUAAACACAUUGAACAUU
Oncorhynchus masou masou (cherry salmon) is the source of this 668-nucleotide long non-coding RNA. RefSeq lists it as uncharacterized. NCBI's taxonomy places the organism in Eukaryota, Metazoa, Chordata, Actinopteri, Salmoniformes, Salmonidae. The transcript is spliced from 3 exons. The record is from RefSeq and is a predicted model, not a curated record.